UACGGGGGGGGCAAGCGUUGUUCGGAAUUACUGGGCGUAAAGGGCGCGUAGGCGGCGCGGUAAGUCGGGUGUGAAAUCUCGGAGCUUAACUCCGAAACUGCAUUCGAUACUGCCGUGCUUGAGGACUGGAGAGGAGACUGGAAUUUACGGUGUAGCGGUGAAAUGCGUAGAUAUCGUAAGGAAGACCAGUGGCGAAGGCGAAUCUCUGGACAGUUACUGACACUGAGGCACGAAGGCCAGGGGAGCAAACGGG
RNAcentral lists this ribosomal RNA (253 nucleotides) under uncultured bacterium. Its description in RNAcentral is "partial 16S ribosomal RNA". It matches the Rfam family "Bacterial small subunit ribosomal RNA", at positions 524 to 776 of the family's 1533-position model. The record is from RNAcentral.